Transfer RNA from Ovis aries (sheep), 73 nucleotides. It matches the Rfam family "tRNA". Rfam says of the family: Transfer RNA (tRNA) molecules are approximately 80 nucleotides in length. Their secondary structure includes four short double-helical elements and three loops (D, anti-codon, and T loops). The record is from Rfam. NCBI's taxonomy places the organism in Eukaryota, Metazoa, Chordata, Mammalia, Artiodactyla, Bovidae.
UUCCUGGUGGCCCAGUGGUUAAGACUCUGCACUGUUAAUGCAGGGGGUCCGGUUUCAAUCCCUGGUCACGAAA